AGCUCAUUGAAUUGCAUUCUGAUUGCCCUGAUUUGUUGGAUCCAAGCCAAAGAAAUCUUCAAGUAACAGAAGCACUCUCAUCCAGUAAAUGACCUACAUAAAUUCAGUUUUCCUUGGCCCUGUUUUGCUUCUUCUUCCAGAUAAGAGAAGAUGUCAAAUCUGGUGUUUAUAUUGAAAAUUUGACAGAGCAGUAUGAAGGAUGUCACACAACUGCUGAUAAAGGGAUUGUCAAACAGGAGGACAGGUGCAACUAGUAUAAAUGCAGAAAGCUCACACUCACGUAGUGUUUUCAUUUGUGUUGUUGAAUCUCGAUGCAAGGUAAUAACUGCUGCAAUUUAAAAAUUAGUAGUUUUUCUUUAAAUUAUGAGUUACGGAUUGCAUAAAGGGUUUCUGUUAAAGGCAUAUAAAUCUGUGUCUGUAUAUUAGAAUACUCUUUACCAGCUAAGCAAUCUGAUAUUCUGUGCAGUUUUACUCAUUAUAUCUACUUCAUUAACUUUGACGUAAGAGUAGAAUCUAUUGACAUGCAACAACAACAGAAAACUUGAAUAUCUUUGUUUUUUUCAUGAGUUUUGUUUCAUUUCAUUGUGAUUGAUGUUUUUUGUGUUAAAUUCUUGUGUCUUU
Molecule: long non-coding RNA, 621 nt
Organism: Pistacia vera
Lineage: Eukaryota; Viridiplantae; Streptophyta; Magnoliopsida; Sapindales; Anacardiaceae
Exons: 3
Source: RefSeq, a predicted model, not a curated record